CAACUAGUAGAAUAUACAAAAGAAUAAAUCUAUCCUACUGUCUGAAAUAGAAUAGACAGCCAAAAUAAUGAGAGACUCCAUCAUGCUGCUGAACGGCACAGAAAGGGAGCAGCUCAUCGUGAAAGUCUCGAACACUGAUCAAGAAUGCGCACCAGACGAGUAACCAGAUGUACCUGCCUCAGAUACUGUACAGUUAAGUAUAGAAGUGUAGUAUGAGUACAUAAAAAAUAUGUACCCAGUAAGUAUCCUGUCUAAUCUCGAAGAAGUAGAGACGAGAGGUCGACUUGACACUUACUAGGGUCAAAUAAUAUGAGAAAUGAAUCAUAUUGAGCAUGGAUAGUACAAAUAAUUAACAGUUUAUAUCAGGAAAUAACAGAUCCUUUCCUAGAUAAUAUCACAGUUGGCCACUUACAUUUUAGGGAAUAUAACAAAUCUCAAUCCACAUAAAAAAUACUGAGUAAAAGCAUGCGCAAGUAGUGCAGAGAUCGUACGACCCGAUCCAACAUAAAAGUAAAUUGUCGAGGGUCGAACGACGUGAACCAUAGAUGUAUCUAUUACUCUGCUCGCAAAUCAGACAUGCGACACGGUCAAAUAUAAUUAAACACAACAACAGGCAGACAAGAAUAUAUAUCUGGGGAGCAAUUACUCACAGAAAUAUCAAUUUCUCUUUAAAAGGGGCAAGAAGAUAAUGUUCCUCUUAUUAGUCUCAUUUACCAUAAUCAUCAUGUUUUAAACAAUCCAAAUUAAACAUAAAAUUACAAGAAUAUCACAUAAAGCAUGCUUUUGGGUCCUAGACUACCCGGACUUAGCCUAAUAGAACCUACGCACGGACUCUCGUCACCUAGUGCAUAUGUAGCCCCCGCAUUCAAUGGCAAAAUAUUUGAUUAUAUCACCUAUAGGGACAAUUCCCUUUUACAAGGUUAUAUAGGAGACUCACAUCACUCCAAAGUGUACUUCAAAUACCAAGAACGUGCUCAAACCCCUCAAUUUGGAGCCGAACGAUCUAAAACUAAUUAAACGAGGUAGGAACUAGUCAAUACAAGCUCAAGAGUUCAUAUUUUAAUUAUUAAAGUAAUUUUCCAACCUUAAACACAAGUUUUCUAAAAUCCGACCCCGAGCCCACGUGCCCGGAUUCCAAAAUUUUACGAAGAAAGUUGUUCUUUAUAACCUAAGGAUCAAUAAUAUAUGAUUUCUAAUGCAUUUCAUAACAAAUUUCGUGGUUAAAUCUAACUUUUAUCAAAACCCUAGGUUUUGCUCUAACCCCAUGAUUUUACCUUAAUCUUUGUGUGUUAAUCUACCCAAGGGUCAAGUAUUAAACUAGAAUUAGGUAGGAUAAACUUACCUCAAGAUGCUAGGUGGAAGUCCUCUCUCAAGAGCUCCAAAAUCACCUAAUGGGUGAGUGAAAAAUAGCCAAAAUAGCUUAGAGCCCGACUCGUAACACCUCAUAAGAAAUCUCCCCAACUCGCUUCAACACCUCAAAUGGGCCAAUAAACCUUGGGCUCAGCUUGCCCCUCUUCCCGAAACUCAUAACACCCUUCAUUGGCGAGACUUUCAAGAGGACCUUCUCGCCAACCAUGAAUGAUACAUCGCGUGCCUUCUGAUCUGCGUAACUCUUCUGUCUGGACUGAGCUAUGCGAAGCCUCUCCUGAAUCAACUUUACCUUGUCCAAGGCAUCUUGCACCAAGUCUGUACCGUAUAACUUAGCCUCACCAGGAUCAAACCACCCGAUAGGAAAUGACACCGCCGACAAUACAAAGCCUCAAAUAAAGCCAUCUCUAUGCUGGACUGAUAGAUGUUGUUGUAAGCAAACUCUGCCAAGGGCAAGAACUGAUCCCACCAUCCUCCAAAAUCAAUCACGCAUGCUCUAAGCAUGUCCUCCAAGAUCUGAACUGUCUGCUCCGACUACCCGUCGGUCUGAGGAUGAAAUGUUGUGCUAAUCUCUACACGGGUCCCCAACUCACUCUGAACGGCUCUCCAGAAAUGGGAAGUGAUCUGAGCGCCUCUAUUUGAUAUGAUGGAAACAGGCACACCAUGCAACCGGACUAUCUCCCGAAUGUAAAUCUGAGCCAAUCUCUCUGAAGUGUAAGUAGUCACAACCGGAAUAAAGUGUGUUGAUUUGGUCAACCUGUCAACUAUGAUCCAUACUGCAUCAAACUUCCGCAAAGUCCGGGGCAACCCAACUACGAAGUCCAUAGUAAUGCGCUCCCACUUCCACUAUGGUAUAGGCAUCUGCUGAAGUAGGCCACCCAGCCUCUGGUGCUCAUACUUAACUUGCUGGCAAUUCAAACACCUAGCCACAUACUCUACUAUGUCCUUCUUCAUCCUCCGCCACCAAUAAUGCUAUCUCAAGUCAUGAUACAUCUUUGUCGCACUCGGAUAAAUGGAAUACCACGAACUGUGUGCCUCCUCUAGUAUUCUUUCCCUCAGACCAUCAACAUUAGGAACACAUAGGCAACCCUGGAGUUGCAAAACACCAUCCUCACCAAUAGAAACCUCUUUGGCACCUCCUUGCAUCACUGUCUCUCUGAGAACUGCCAAAUAUGGAUCAUCGAACUGUCGGGCCUUGAUCUGCCCCAAUAAUGAAGACUAAGCAACUACACACACAAGAACUCGGUUGGGCUCUGAAAUAUCCAACCUCACAAGUCUGUUAGCCAACGAUUGAAUGUCCAAAGUUAGUGACCUCUCCUCUGCUGGAAUGAAUGACAAGCUACCCAUACUCUCUGCUUUCCUGCUUAAGGUAUCGCGACCACAUUUGCCUUGCCUGGAUGAUAAAGAAUGGUGAUGUCAUAAUCUUUCAGUAACUCAAGCCAUCUACACUGCCUUAAAUUGAGAUCCCUCUGCUUGAACAAAUGUUGUAAGCUGCGAUGAUCAGUAAAAACCUCACAUGACACCCCGUACAGAUAAUGCCUCCAUAUCUUAAGAGCAUGAACAAUCGCGGCCAACUCCAAAUCGUGCACAAGAUAAUUCUUCUCAUGAAUCUUCAGCUGACGCGAAGCAUAUGCAAUAACUCGCCCCUCCUACAUCAAUACACAUUCCAAUCCAAUGCGCGAAGUGUCACAAUAUACCGUAUACAUCCUUGAACCGGAAGGCAACACAAGAAGUGGCGUUAUAGUUAGAGCUGUCUUGAGCUUCUGAAAGCUCGCCUCAAAAUCAUCGGACCAACGGAAAGGAGCACCCUUCUGGGUCAAUCUAGUUAGGGGUGAUGCAAUAGAUGAAAAGCCCUGCACGAAUCAUCUGUAAUAACCUGCUAACCCCAGGAAACUCCUUAUAUUGAUCACUGAAGUAGGACGUGGCCAACUCUGAACUACCUCAAUCUUUUUGAGAUCCACCUUAAUACCUUCUCCUAACACAACAUGCCCCAAGAAUGCUACUAACUCUAGCCAAAACUCACACUUAGACAACUUAGCAUAUAGCUUCUACUCUCGCAAGGUCUGAAGCACUACUCUCAAAUGCUGCUCGUACUCCCCCAGGCUACGCGAGUAUAUCAAGAUGUCGUCAAUGAAGACGAUGACAAAGGAAUCAAUAUAAGGCCUAAAUGCCAUGUUCAUCAAGUCCAUAAAUGAUGAUGGGGCAUUAGACAAGCCAAAGGAGAUCACCAAAAACUCAUAAUGGCCAUAUCUAGUCCGGAAUGCAGUCUUCAGAACAUCCGAGUACCGAAUCUUCAACUGAUAAUACCCUGACCUCAAGUCGAUCUUAGAGAACACCCUAGCACCCUACAACUAUCAAACAAAUCAUUGAUAUGAGGUAAUGGGUAAUUGUUUUUUAUGGUGACUUUGUUCAACUAGCGGUAAUCAAUGCACAUCCGCAUAGUCCCAUCCUUUUUCUUCACAAUUAACACUGGUGCACCCCAAGGUGAUAGACUGGGUCUAACAAACCCCUUUGCUAACAACUCCUCAAGCUGCUCCUUCAACUCCUUCAACUCUUUAGGAGCCAUACGGUAUGGUGGGAUAGAUAUAGGGUGGGUGCCUGGAGCCAAAUCAAUACAGAAAUCAAUAUCACGAUCCAGUGUCAUGCCAGGAAGAUCAGAAGGAAACACAUCGGUGAAAUCUCAGACUACUGGAACUGAAUCAAUCGUUGGAGAUUCUAUUGUGGUGUCCCGAGCAUAAGCCAGAUAUGCCAAACAUCUCUUCUCGACCAUAUGCUGAGCCUUCAGGAAAGAGAUAACCCGACUAGAUGUAUCAAUAGUGGAACCCUUCCACUCCAACCUCAGCAACCCUGACAUUGCUAAUGUAAUAGUCUUGGCAUAGCAAUCUAGGACGGUGUGAUAUGGAGAUAACCAAUCCAUGCCUAGGAUGAUCUCAAAGUCAAUCAUAUUAAGCAACAGGAGAUCUGCACUAGUCUCGAGACCACAGAAUAUGAGCAUGCAGGACUAGUAGAUCCGAUCCACAACCACAAAAUCACCCAUAGGAGUGGACACAUGAAUCAGAGUGCCCAAAGGCUUAGGAGAAAUAACCAGGAAACAAGCAAACAGAGAUGAUACAUAUGAAUAGGUGGACCCUGGAUCAAAUAAUACCGAAGCAUCUCUACCGCAGACAGAAAUAAUACCUGUGAUGACGGCAUUUGAGGCCAAUGCAUCUGGCCUAGCCGGAAGAGCAUAGAAUCUGGCUGGAGCGCCGGCUGGCUUGCCUCCACCUGACUGAGUAGUAGCUGGCUGACCUCUCCCUGUUUGGCCUCCACCUCUAGGACGACCUCUACCAGUCUACCCCCUCCCCCACCUCUAGACGACUGGGCAACUGGUGCUGAAAUCAUAGGCAACCCUGUUGUACUACCUUGCCCCGAAGCCUGGGGUAGGUCCUCUUCAUGUGACUCGGAUCUCCACACUCGUAGCAACCUCUUGGCACCAUAGCCUGCUGCCCUGAAGUCUGAGCCUGCUGACCCGAAUAUCCAUUAAAAGAACCCUGAAUGGCUGAUGGGCGAUAUGAACUCUCUGGCAUGGCACUGAAGUAAGUACUGGAAGAACCCUGAUGACCAGAAUACCCGCCGGAGGAACCUUGAAUAGCUGGUAGACGGUAAGAACUCUCCAGCAUCACACUGAAAUAAGGCCUCACUAGAGUACCUCGGGGAGGUGGUGGUGGUACUGAAUACGGGAGCCUGCUGGGCUGACCCCUCCCGGAGUGCCCUCUACCCCUAGCUGGGGCACCUUUGAACUCUCCAAAAAAUCGGGCCCUCUUGUCCUGCUGAAUCUGCUCUCUACCCCUCUGACGAUAACCCUCUAUCCUACGAGCAAUCUCAACCACUAGCUGAUACUCAGUACCCAUCUCCACCUCUCGAGCCAUGCUAACUCGAAUAUCGGGGUGCAACCCCGCAAUAAAUCUCCGUACUGUCUUUGAAUCUAUGGGAAGUAUCAUGAGUGCAUGGCGAAACAACUCAGAAAACCUCGCCUCAUAAUCGAUCACGAACAUCUGACCUUGCUCAAGAUGCUCAAACUGAUACCGUAGCUCUUCCCUCUCAGAGGGUGGAAUAUAUCUGUCCCAGAAUAACUAUGUGAAUUGACCCCAAGUGAUGGGAGGAGAACCUGCUGGCCUGCCAAGAACAUAAGACUACCACCAUCUACAGGCCCUGCCCUCCAGCUGAAAAGUAGUAAAGUCAACCCCAUGUGACUCCAAUAUCCUCAUGUUGUGCAGUAUGUCCCUGCAUCUAUCUAUGAAGUCUUGGGCAUCCUCAUGACGCUCACCCCCGAAGACAGGAGGGUGAAGUCUAGUCCAUCUAUCCAAUAACUUCUGUGGGUCACCAUCUGCAGCUAGUCUGGGCUCGGGCACCACUGCAGUAACUGGCUGAGCCCCAUCUACGGGUAGUGCACCCAGAGUCUGAUACACUGUAAUUGCAUGACCAGGAGCCUAAGCAGUAGGGGUCUAUUCUCCCCUUCCUGCUUGUGAUGUAGCUGUAUCCGCUGGAAAUAAACCAGCCUGAGUCAUGGUGUCCAUGAACCACAACAUAUAGCCCAUGAUCUCCUGGAAACCUAGUGUUGUCAUAAAGUCCGGUCGGGGUAGGCUCAGCUACGGGUACCUCGCCCUGCUCCUCAAUGAUAAGAUCUCUCGCAGGAUCUGCUGGUGGUGCUACUAGGACAGCUCUAGGAUGCCCUCGUCCCCUACCUUGGGUCGGUUCCCUCCUCCGGCCUCUACCUCGGCCUCUAGAAACAGGGGGAGCAGCCCCUCCCGCGUCUGGAACAUCAGCUGUGCGUAUCCUCACCAUCUGUGAGAGAAUAGCAGAGGGAAAUUUAGUAUACCAACCAUUGCACGAUAGGAAAUGAAUAAAGAGUAGUUUUCCUAAUACCCUAUAGCCUCUCGAAGAUAAAUACAGACGUCUUUGUACCGAUCUGCAAGACUCUAUUAGGUUUUCCCAUGACUUGUGAGACCUACGUGAACCUAGAGCUCUGAUACCAUGUUGUCACGACCCAAUUCCAUUAUAGAUCAUGAUGGCGCCCAACACCCUUGUCAGGCAAGACAACGCGGAAGUAUUAAUAAGUUCUCAUUUUCACUUUACUAAAACAAGUACAGAAAUUUCUAAAUUUGAAGUUAAAAGCAUGUGAUAAUUAGUAACGUACAAAAAUAGAUAUACAAUCCCUAAAAGAAUAGUCUACCAAUGUAUGUACCAAGACCUGGUGUCACAAGUUUAUGGGCAAAUAGAAUAUACAAAAGAAUAAAUCUAUCAUACUGUCUGAAAUAGAAUAGACAGCCAAAAUAAAAAGAGACUCCAUCGUGCUGCUGAACGGCACAGGAAGGGAGCAGCUCAUCGUGAAAGUCUCGGACACUGAUCAAGAAUGUGCACCAGACAGGUAACCAGAUAUACCUGCCUCAGAUCCGGUACAAUUAAGUACAGAAGUGUAGUAUGAGUACAUAAACAAUAUGUACCCAGUAAGUAUCAUGUCUGAUCUCGAAGAAGUAGAGACGAGAAGUCGACUUGACACUUACUAGGGUCAAAUAAUAUGAGAAAUGAAUCAUAGUGAGCAUGGAUAGUACAAAUAAUUAACAGUUUAUAGCAGGAAAUAACAGGUCCUUUCCUAGAUAAUAUCAUAGUUGGCCACUUACAUUUCAGGGCAUAUAACAAAGCUCAAUCCACAGAAAAAUACUGAGUAAAAGCGUGCGCAAGUAGUGCCAAGGUCGUACGACCCGAUCUAACAUAAAAGUAAAUUGUGCAUUGCCGAGGGUCGAACGGUGCGAACGAUAGAUGCAUCUAUUACCUCGCUCGCGAAUCAGACAUGCGAUGCGGUCAAAUGUAAUUAAACACAACAACAGGCAGACAAGAAUAUAUAUCUGGGGAGCAAUUACUCACAGAAAUAUCAACUUCUCUUUAAAAGAAACAAGAAGAUAAUGUUCCUCUUAUUAGUCUCAUUUACCAUAAUCAUCAGGUUUUAAACAAUCCAAAUUAAACAUAAAUUACAAUAAUAUCACAUAAAGCAUGCUUUUGGGUCCUAGACUACCCAGACUUAGCAUAAUAGUAGCUACGCACAGACUCUCGUCACCUAGUCCGUACGUAGCCCCCGCACAGCUAUGGGCACAAUUCUCUCUUACAAGGUUAGAUAUGAGACUCACCUCGCUCCAAAGUGUACUUCCAAUACCAAGAAUGUGCUCAAAACCCUCAAUUUGGAGUCGACGAUCCGAAACUAAUUAAACGAGGUAGGAACUAGUCAAUACAAGCUCAAGAGUUCGCGUUUUAAUUACUAUAGUAAUUUCUCAACCUUAAACACAAGUUUCCUAAAAUCCGACCCCAGGCUCACGUGCCUGGAUUCCGAAUUUUUUUGAAAAAGGUUGUUCAUUAUAACCUAAGGAUCAAUAAUAUAUGAUUUCUAAUGCAUUUCAUAACAAAUUUCGUGGUUAAAUUUAACUUUUACCAAAGCCCUAGGUUUUGCUCUAACCCCAUGAUUUUACCUUUAAUCUUUGUGUGUUAAUCUACCCAAGGGUCAAGUAUUAAACUAGAAUUAGGUAGGAUAAACUUACCUCAAGAUGCUAGGUGGAAGUCCUCUCUCAAGAGCUCCAAAAUCACCUAAUGGGUGAGUGAAAAAUAGCCAAAAUAGCUUAGAGCCCGUAUUAAAUGAAGCUACUGCUUUAGUGAUUUCCGCAUCUGCGGUCAAGGGACCGUAUCUGUGGUCAAGGGACCGCAUCUGCGGUCCCGCUUCUACGAGAGGAAGGCCACAUCUGCAUAAUUGGCCAAGCGAGCUGGGACCGCUUCUGCGGUCUUGAAGCCGCUUCUGCGGUCUUGAAGCCGCUUCUGCGGCUUUGGCUUGGCCUGCCUUGGCCGCAUCUGCGAGAGGACGACCGCUUUUGCGGUCUCGCACCUACGGCUGACCAACCACAAAUGCGUUUAUGACAGCAACCUGAAGCUUCUGCUCUUCCCAAAUUUUCCAACAUCACUCGAGCCUCGUCCGAUUGACGCUCGGGGCUCCCGGGCCCCGCCCGAACAUACCAACAAGUUUGAAAUUAUGAAACGGACUCGCUCGAACCUUCAGAACGCCCAAAACAAUGCUAAAUCUAAGAAUCACCCCCUAAAACCAAUUGAAUCAAACUUAUGAACUUCAAGUUCUUCAAUUCACUUCUCACGCAAACGUGUUACUACUCGGAUUGACACCAAAUUUUGCGGGCAAGUCUUAAAUGUUAUAUUAGACCUGUACCGGGCUUCAGAGCCAACAUACGAGCCCGAUACCAAUAUGAUCAAUCAUUAUUUGAUUUCUUUAAAUCCUUACAAUUUUAGUUUAACAAUUUCUAAUAAAAAUUUAUUACGCGGGCUAGGGACCUCGGAAUUCGAUUCUGGGUAUACGCCCAAGUCCCAUAUUUUUUCCUACGGACCCUCCAUGAUUGUCAAAACACAAAUUCAGGUUCAUUUGCUAAAAAUGUUGACCAAAGUCAAACUUAGCCUUUUAAGAAAAUCUUAAGGAAUCAAAUGAGCCUAUUUCAACACAAACUCUUUCUAAUCCUGAACCAACCAUCCCCGCAGGUCGUAAAAUAGUUAAAACGAGCGCGAAAAGUUUUAUUUGGGAGGACGAGGUUCUAAAACGUAAAAUGACCGGUCGGGUCGUUACAAAUGGACUAAUUAUCAUGCUAGGGUUUUACGCCGACACUGUUGAGACCCGAGUGCCGUUUCUUGAUGUCAUUUUAGCAGGUUCAUUAAUAUUCUUUACUCAAUCACACUCAUGCAUAUCAUAUCAUGUCUCAGUAUCUGUUGUUGUUAUUUGGCACAUCAUAUCAUUGUUUCAGGCUAGUUUCAUAGCAUUGUGAGCCCAUGUGUGUGAGACUGGAGAGUGAUGACUGAGUGAGGCCGAGAGCCUGAUUAUAGGUGACAGUUAUGGGAUCGGGCUGCACGCCGUAGCGGUUAUGUUGAUGAUUAUGAUAAUGCUUGGGUUGUAGGAGCCCCUCCGGGGUCUGUAACACACCCUCAGUGAGCGGGGAUGAUAUUAUUGAGGGAUGGAUUUCCCUGGACAUGGAUUUGUCCGAAGUAUUGAUAUAUGGAGCUGGAUUUCUCCAUAGGGAUGGACUUCCCUUUUUCCUCGGUACCGAGUGACAUCUAGUCAUGGUUGAGUAUGUUCUGGGAUGGAUUUUCCUGGGUCGGAUGGCCAUAUGCGAUACGUAUAUAUAUAUAUAUACCUAGAGAUGGAUUUCUCCUCAGGGUUGGAUUACCCUUGUUCCUCGGUACUGGAUGACUUGCAGUCAGUGUUGUAUAUAUUCCGGGAUGGAUUUUACUGGGCCGGAUGGUCAUAUGCAGUACCAAGUGGUUGAGCUUGAGAGUGGGAGCACAUGGUGCAUUUCAUACAUUCUGUGCAUUGGCAUGUAGAGUUAGCUAAGCUUUGUAUUUUACAUUGUUCAGCUCUGUAUAUAUUUCACUGUUGAGUUGUAUUCCUGAAAGAAUAACAUGCCUACUUUUUUGCACAGUUUAUUUCUAUUUUUUGUUGAGGUUACGUUCAUCACUACCUAUCAGUCUAAAGGUUGGACUUGUUACUUACUGAGUUAGUGUACUCACGUUACCCCUUGUACCUUGUGUGCAGAUCCAGGUGCGUUCGGUCCUGGUAGCAAUCACUGAUCGAGGUUGCAGGCUUGGAAGGUUGUUGAGGUAUUUGCAUGGCAUUCGCAGAUCUUGAUCUUCCUUCUUUAUUCCAGUUGUAUUUCAGUUGUUCCUCAGUAAACACUGUAGUAGACUACGUUAUUUCUCCAGACGCUCAUGUACUCCGUGACACCCUAGUUUUGGGCUGAUUGUUUUCGUAUUAUGAAUUAUGCCUUAUAUUUUUAAAAUAGUUUACUUAAAUGAUGAAUGCGGUUUUUCGCAAAUAUUCUAAAUUCUAGUAUUGUGGUUUGGAUUAUGUUGAGUUGAGGCUGGCCUAGUUUCACGAUAGGCGCCAUCACAACGGUUGAGUUUGGGUCGUGACACCCCUUCUACUCCUAAUUGGAGCUACUAUAGAAUGAAGGCCAUCAACUAUGAUGGCACAGCUAGGGGGAGCAGUAGAUGUAGUAGAAGUUGAAGAUUUGGAAGCCACUGUCAAUAAAAAAAGAAGUUGAACGCAGGAGUGAAGAAUUGUUAAGAGAGUUUAAAGAAGAAGGCAAAGACAAGAGAGUAGAAGAAAUUUGUAAAGGUUAAUAGUUCUGUAUUUAUAAGGAAAUACGUCAUCAUGAUACUGACACAUCCAUCUGUGCAUAGGAAAACGUUGCAAAUUUUAGAGUCAAUUAUAUUAAGACACGUAUCUCGGGAUUAAAUGGAAGAGACACAGGUCUCUUUACUUUUUCAACACAUCAUAAUAAUAUUGGGAAGAGGUGACAAAUAUUCUCUCCAUAAAUAAACUCUCCCCUUACUGAAUAUUCAGUUGAGAAUAUUUUGAAAGUAGGGGGACUAUUUGCAUUAGUAAAAAAUAAACCUGCCACGUAGACUAAUAGUACGGUGACAUGCUUCAAAGGAGUUAAAACGACAAAGAAAAAUGAUGUGUACAUGAGAUGUGAGCAACACCUACAGGAUCACUUGUGUAGAUACCGUACAUGUUAGUCACUACGUUAAAUAUAAAAAAAAAAAUAGUAACGAGACUUAUAAUUAAGUUCAUUAACAUCCAUGAAUAUGAAAAUGUCAUUAAUACUUAUGAUUAUGAACAGAAUCAGUAAAAUCACUAAUUACAUGUAAUUUGUUAUUAUUUUCUCAACUGUUACAAAUCACUCACAUAACAGACAAUUAAUAUAAUAAAUUGCAGUAAGGGACAAGAGCUAAACAAGACAAAUUGUUAUAAGAAGUAGUACUAUUUAAACCCCAAUUUUCAUAACUUAUAUCCUCAUUGAAAAAUCUGCUAAGUAAUACUGUCAGUUAUUAAUAUUCUUAUUGUUUUCUAUUAUUGGGAGAACUACUCUUUCCUACUGGAAGAAAGUGGCAAUCAUUGAUAAGAUUUCUAUUUCCUUAUUCUCAGUUUAAUUCUUUAAUAUCGUUAUUCCUUUUCAUAUCAAUCAUAUUUGAAAUAGUGAAGUAAUUUAGCUGUUAGAAACCCAAAUUAUUUUAUUUAUUUGCUUUUAACUUCAAAUACUAAAUUUUGGGUUAAAAAUGGCACCUAGCUCGUAGCGUCGCCGCACUAAACCUAUAUCUGAAAAGUAAAAUAUACAACAAGGGAGACCUGAAUAUAUAAUGCACUUUAGACGACCCACUAAUAUUGGAACAAGUCCUCGACAAGCAUUUACAAUUAAGACAUAAGAUACUAUGUUCAAUUUAUAACAAAAUAUGAACAAAAGUUCAUAUCAUAGGCAUGUCAAUAACAUGUACGUAUUCGAUAAUACGGUGAACUUCACUUCAUAAUCAUAUUUAUCGAUUGAUCAACAUCUAAAGUAUUCAAACAUACGCCCAAGUUGAAUUAAAUGCAACUGAAUCAAGCCCGAACCCCGAGCCAUGUCAGCUCUUUGCCCAAGCCAAAAUGAGUAUUACUAAUUGUGAGCGGUGAAAAUCAUUUACACACCUCAUCUUGCUUUAAAAAUCAAACUCCCCCUCAACAUUAAAUAAUAGGCAUUCUCCCCCCUAUCAUGUCUAUUGACUUUUUUAAUACCUAUUUUACCCUUACAUAUCAACCUCUCUCUCUCUUUUAGAAUUAUGAUAUUUAUUUCAUUUUUUAAAAUUUAUAUAACAAAAGAAAAAUAUUCCUGAGACGAAAAAAGAAGAGUGAGAAAUAGUAAUUAAGUAAUAUGUUCAAUAGUGAAAUAAAUGGGCAGAAUAAAAAUAAUUUAAUUUUAUAUAUAGCAAUCAAAGCUCUAAUAUAUAUUUAUAAAGUGACAAUAAAAGGGAGUAAAAAAUUAUAAAUAUUUGAAUGCAAGUAAAACAAAGAUAAUUGUCACACCUCCUUUUUUUUUUACCCGUAAGGAGUAUAUAAGGGAGUUUUUCCAAUUAAAGUGGCAUAAAUAGAAAUGAGAUUAUUUUAUUUAAUUUUUCAAAGUCGCAACUUGGGAUAUUUAUUAUGGUGUCUCAAGUCACCGGUUUAUUUUAAAUCCCAAAUCGAGGAAAAUCGAAAGUCUGCAAAAUCAGAAAUCUAGAUAAGGAAUUCUGUUAACCCGGGAGAAGGUGUUAGGCAUUUCCGAGUUCCAUGGUUUUAGUACGGUCGCUUUAAUCAUACCUAGCUCAAUUAAAUUGCCUAAUUACUUAUUUUAGAACCUAUGUGCAUCUACCCCUUUACCGGUUUUAUUUGCUUUAUUACUCUUAAUUAAGGAAUUAUCUAUAAAAAAAAAUGAGUCACGCGUACGUAUACUCAUUUCAUUUGGCGCGUCAAAAAUCAUGUCACGCGUACGUAUCUACAAUUAAUCACGCUUUAUUAUUAUCAAGAAAGUUUGAUCGAAGUUGCGCGAAUGCAUACCUCGAUUUGUUAUUAGGAUCAUAAUUAUGUCACGCAAACGUAUACACAAUCACGAUGAUAGAUUAAAUCGCGCCUUAAGCAAGCUACAAAUGUUCAUAGUAUUUUCUACACUAGUUAGUAUUAAUGUGAGGGCCAUGUGUUAUGGAUUUUAUUUGUGUAUAGCACGCCUCAAUUUAUUCUAAAAGAUUUGUACUCAAUUAAAGCAAUCUACGGAUAUUCAUAGAAUCAAUUACUUUUCUAUAUUCAAGAUCAUGUGUUAAAGUUGAGAGCUACAGAACCAUGUAUUGGGUUGGAGGAGAUGUUGAUAACUCGAAAUUCAUCAACCAUUAGCCUAAACUCAUACCAGUUGAACCAAAGGAGACUUUGAGAACAUAAAAUUACCAACUGACUUUAUACAUCUACCAUAAAUAUGGGAACACUAUUAUAAGCUUGACUCCAACAAAUUCAAAACUAAAGGUUUAGCUCAAUUGAAGCCAAUCAAUAUACGAAUGGACACGCUUAGCUUCCUUUAGAUUUUAAAUCUGUUCAAGCCUUAAACAAACUCAUGACUUGAUACUGACGUUUUUAUUAUUUUAUCAAUAAAUGAGAACAUAUAUGAUAAGUGGCUAUUCCUUGGAUAAACAUUAAUUAUAAUAUAUUUUUAUGAACCCCACAAGCAAUUCUUUCAAUAUCCUAGAUAUUUGUUUUUUUUUUGGAUCAAUCACAAAUGAAGACACUUUUACUAAACAAUAUUUUCACAAUAAUCACUUCAUUACUUACAAUCAUUCAAGUUGUUAGUAAUCAAAUUAAUACAAUCAUAGGCAUCAGGACUGUCCGUUCUUGGUCAGCAAGUGCUGGGGACAAAGAAGAAUUAACACAAACUUUUACUGUUCUCGAAACAUCUACUAACUUCUAGUAUCAGUACAAAUUCCUUGCACACUACUUUUAUAGCAAUAACCACUACAGAUUGAGAACCAAGCAUGUCCAUACGCCAGGCAAAAAAUAUAUCAGCAUAUACUAGGUUGCUAGAUUAAGCAGUGUUGAUAUUUGGUUUUGAGAAGAAUAAGAACUGGAUAAUGCUGGAAUAUAUUUUUUUUACCUCUUUGGCUUGUGAAACAAAUAGUUAGAUACUACUAGAUACACAAGACAUUAAAAUAGAGAUCUGUAUAACGUAGUCUCGUGAAACUUAGAAAAGUAAGACGAAUCUAGGAUUAAUAUGAUAACUCCAAGACAUACUCGAAUAAAAAAAACAGACCCAACACGAAAGAAACUUUAUCAAAAGAGCUAAAUCGAUUUGAUUCUGUUUCAACAAAGAUGCCUCUACAUUUUCAACUUAAGAACUUAAAUUACAUACCUGAUUUAGCCAAAAUACACCAAAAAGAAUAAAUCUCUGAAAUUGCAAGGAGAUGAAAGCAAAAGAACGACACAACAACAGUAGCAGUGUUUAGGAAAAUUGAUGCCAAAAUUCCUGCUUCCUUUUGAUUUUUGUUUGAAAUAUUUUUUCCGAAUUUUUCUUCAAAUUUCGAUUUCCUAGUGUGUUUAUCAGAGAAAUGAGGAAAUGUGGAGUCAGAUGUGAGAAUUGGGUGUUUCUCUAUAUGUGUUUUGAGAAAAUGAUUAAGCAAACAGAAGAAAGGGAGCUGGGGUUGCGCCGUUUGCUCUGGUUUUUGCAAAGGUCCGAGUCCGAUUUUCUCUUUUGGAAGGAAAGGGUUCUCUUCUGAUUGUUCUUAGGUUGAAGAUGCAGACCGUGGGGGAUGCGCCGUUUUGGUGAAGGAAAAUUAGGAAUCUGAUCCCUUCUCUAGGUUUCCUAAUGUGUAUAUAUAUUAGAGUGUAGGAGGUAGGGUUUUAAUAAAGGGGAAUGAGUAUUUGGGUAGUGGGCUGAGAUUGCAUGGGCUUGGGUAAUUUGGAAUUUUUGGGCUUCAAAUUAAACUGGGCCAGAUGAAAUUGAAAGACCAAAUCUACUUUUUUUUUCUUUGUUUUUCUUUUGAUUUCAAAAACUAAUUGAAUUAACUAAACAAGCUAAAUAAAAUCCUAAAUUAGGCUCUACCUUAAAUUAUUUUGUAAAGUUAAUUUUACUUAUUUUUACUAAUUUAAAACUAAUUAAUUUAAAACUAAAAGCUAAAAUGUGGACAUGACUAUUGUAGUAAUAUUUGUGAUUUUUUGUUUAAUGAAUGCAAUUAAACUAUGAAACUAAAUCUAAGAUGGCAUGAAAUUAAAAUGUGACAAUUGUUUUAAUGAUUUUCUUAUGAUUUAAAAAUAUUAAAAAUGCAUGAAAUGCAACUAAAUAAAGAAAAACUUCUAAAAUCCCUAAAAAAUUAUUUUUGGUCUAUUUUUAGGAGUUAUUUCCAUGAGGGGCAAAAAUUAGGUGCUCACAGCUGCCCCUCUUUGCUCGAAAACAUGAAGAGUUUUUAGGCAAAAAAUAAAGUGAGAAACUACGAGCAAUUUUUGCCCGUUUGAAACUCCAUUUGGCAGCAUUUUGAAAGAGUUUGACUGAACCUUACUUCAGAGGUUGCCUACGUAUCCUUGGCUAUAAAGGAAUCAAGUCGGUAUAGUUCUGGAAAUUUUGGUAGCUAGGACUACCGAAAAACUGUGAUUUCACUGUUGUUGCUUGUUGUUUAUGCUUGCUGAGCUCCUUAUUAUACCAUAAUGAAAAAUGAAAAGUUAAACUAGUUAAGACUAUCAGCUACGAGUUACAAGAUUUCUAUCUAUAAACCUUCUAAAGCUUGAUCUUGAGUCUUGGCUGGUUCUUCCUACAGACUCUGAUCUGAAUCUUGAUGCUCGUUAACUGCAACCGUUGGUUCAUUCUUCUUCAGCUUUUCGGAUCAAGGAGGGACAUGCAAAGCUUGUGAUUCAAUCAUAUCUUGAGCAGUCCACAUCUUUCUUCCGCUUCUACACUUAGAGCUCACUUUUUUUCUUGUUUUUUCUUUUCUUUUAUUUGAAUCGAGACUUCUUCUUUUGGCCGCCUUGAAACUUGUGCCUCAAGGUAAAAACCUGAUCAGGUACUAAAACAAAUAAACGAACGAAAUUUUCUGCCCUAGUUUUCACUAGAAAAAUUUCGUGAGUUAUUGUAACAAAAAUCUAAACUACUUCUUUAUUGAAAGCAAUAAAAUCAGGAUUGUGUAUCCUUGGUAGAAAAGAAAUUAGGGAGUGGAGCCCUAUAUCUAAAAUGAAAUCAAAUGGGGAUCGGAGAUCCUAAGUUGGAAAGGUUACCAGGUUAUGCUGGCAUCAACUAAGGAAUGGGACACUAUGCCGGAAAAGAUUACUAGGUUAUGCUAGCAGAGCUAGGGAGUGAGACCCUAUAUUGGAAAAGAUUACCAGGUUAUGUUGGCAUCAGCUAGGGAAUGGGACCCUAUGUUGAAAAAAAUUACCAGGUUAUGUUAAUCAUCGAGUUAUUCCGGAAAGGUCCUCGAGUUAUGCCGAAAGAUCCUCGGGUUAUGCCGGGAAAGGUCAUCGGGUUAUGCCGGAAAAGGUCAUCGGGUUAUGCCGGAAAGGUCCUCGGAUUAUGCCAGGCAAUGUCAUCGAGUUAUGCCAGAAAGGUCCUCGGGUUAUGCCAAAAAGGUCCUCGGGUUAUGCCGGGGAAGGUCAUCGGGUUAUGCCGGAAAGGUCCUUGGGUUAUGCCGGGGAAGGUCAUCGGGUUAUGCCGGAAAGGUCCUCGGGUUAUGCCAGGGAAGUCAUUGGGUUAUGCCAGAAAGGUCCUCGGGUUAUGCCGGGGAAGUCAUCGGGUUAUGCCGGAAAGGUCCUCGGGUAAUGCCGGGGAAAUCAUCGGGUUAUGCCGGAAAGGUCCUCGGAUUAUGCCGGAGAAGUCAUCGGGUUAUGCCGGAAAGGUCCUCGGGUUAUGCUGGGGAAGUCAUCGGGUUAUGCCAGAAAGGUCCUCGGGUUAUGCCGGGAUCAACUAGGGGGUGAGACCCUAUGUUGGAAAGAUUAACAGGUUAUGCUGGCAUCGACUAGGGAAUGAGACCCUAUAUUGGAAAAGACGUAGCUAGAGACUGGAAACCCUAUGCUACCAUGAUUUUUAAUUUUUCUUCUUCUUCUUCUUCAUUUCAUUUCAUUUUUUUUUAAUUUCAGAGAAUGAGUAAAGGCGGGAAAGAAUUUUGGAGAAGACUUCCCUUUUGGAGUUGUUGCGAAGUUGUUUUUAGCCCUUGCGCCAUUUCUUUUUGGUUGCACCUGCUUCUUGCAAGGUUGCUUUGGAUUGCAUUUAUUUCCUAUUUUCUUUCAAACAAAGAACAGUUUGUUAGUUUGAAACGGUGGUUGAUUUUGUGGCCUUGAGCGUUUUAGUCACUUGAUCUCGGCCCGGCUUCGUUGAUGAAGAUUUCAACUGCAACUGCUUGUUCCCUGAGGACCGAUUUCAUUUCUGACCCUGGAGAACCUCUAGCUUUUCCAAACUUUGCCAUGACGGUUGGGCACGUGGAACUCAACCUUUCACUUUUACUACCCGAGAGGGAUAUAAGGGAAUUUUUUCAAUUAAAGUGACAUAAAUCGAAAUGAGAUUAUUUUAUUUAAUUUUUCAGAGUCACCACUUGGGAUAUUUAUUAUGGUGUCCCAAGUCACCAGUUUAUUUUAAAUCCCAAAUCGAGUGAAAUAUACUUUAUUUAAAAGUCUGCUAAACCAGAAAUCUACGUAAGGAAUUCUGUUAACCCAGGAGAAGGUGUUAGGUAUUCACGGAUUUUGUAAUUUUAGCACGACCGCUUUAACAUAUCUGGCUCAAUUAAAUUGUCUAAUUACUUAUUUUAGAACCUAUGUGCAUCUACCCCUUUUACCGCUUUUAUUUGCUUAAUUACUCUUAAUUAAGGAAUAAUCUAAAAAAAUGGGUCACACGUACGUGUACUCAUUUCGUUUGGCGCGUCAAAAAUCAUUUCACGCGUACGUGUCCACAAUUAAUCACGCUUUAUUAUUAUCAAGAAAGUUCGGUCGAAGUUGCGCAAACGCAUACCUCGAUUUUGUUAUUAGGAUCAUAAUUAUGUCACGCGAACGUGUACACAAUCACGAUGAUAGAUCAAGUCGCGCCUAAAGCAAGCUACAAAUGUUCAUAGUAUUUUCUACACUAGUUAGUAUUAAUGUGAGGGCCAUGGGUUAUGGAUUUUAUAUGUGUAUGGCACGCCCCAAUUUGUUUUAAAAGAUUUGUACUCAAUUAAAGCAAUCUACAGAUGUUCAUAGAAUCAAUUACUUUUCUAUAUUCAAGAUCCUGUGUUAAAGUUGAGAGCUACAGAACCAUGUAUUGGGUUGGAGGAGAUGCUGAUAACUCAACAUUCAUCAACCAUUAGCCUAAACUAGGAGUGACAAAUGGGCGGGUUGGGUCAAAUUUGGGCGGGUCAAAACGAGUUGUGUUGAUAUCUGGGUCAUGACCCAACCCACCCAAAAGUUUGCUUGGGACAAAAUGGGUUGGGUUAAGAUGGGUCAAAUAACGGGUCAUAACCCAACCCGCGCAACUAUUACUUAAAUAAAAUUGUAUUAUGUGUGCUGCAAGUUACAAUUAUUCAUCAUCUAUUUUUGUCAAAUAUUAGUUUUAGGAUCGUAUCUUGUCUUCUAACGUAAUUCAAAACUUGGUUGAAACCAUUUAAAAAAUUUAAUAGUUGGGUUAUGUUAUCUUUUAAUAACAAUCAAAAAGAUCUAAAUUUAGUAAAAAGGGCAGCAUUUAAUUUCGGCUUUAACUUUUUCCUGACAAAAAAUCUUCCUCUAAAACAAGGUCUACAACUUUAAAAAAAUGUAAACUAGUGAAUAAUAAUUUAGUAAAAACCAAUAUUAUAAUUGUUACCUUACAUAAAUAUAUCGGCUAGCUUGCAGAAUGUAUAUGUUUUUUUCUUCAUAUCUUCAUGAAUCAUGCAUUAAUCUAUAAAGAAUUCUCUAAAUCAAUUUCACAAAAAUUUAAAGACGCCUAAGAAAUUACAAGUUGUAUGAUUUUAAUAUAUACUGCAAUCAUUUACCUAAAAGAAAUUUUAUGAAAGAAAACAUCAUCUCUAAAGGCAUUUAGGACAAGGUUCUGUUACAAAUGGGAAAUUUUCAAAUGCAAUUAAAUCUGUUAUAAUAAAAUAUAGGGAUUUAGGAGAAGUUGGGUUUUGUCUUAGAAGACACAACUAGAUGAAAGUCAGGAAAGUCCCAGGUUGAUAAACUGACCCGUUGAGUGACCCAAUUUGACCCGUUUUAGAGAUAGGUCAGUUUGGGUUACAACCCAAAUUGACCCGAUAAGAAAAAAUCAUUGAACCAACCCGUUAAAGUUUGGACGGGUUGGGCGGGUUACACAAUUAUGGGUUAAAUUUGACACCUCUAGCCUAAACUCAUACCAGUUGAACCAAAGGAGACUUUGAGAACAUAAAAUUACCAACUGACUUUAUACAUCUACCACAAACAUGGGAACGCUAUUAUAAGCUUGAUUCCAAUAAAUCCAAAACUAAAGGUUUAGCUCAAUUGAAGCCAAUCAAUAUACGAAUGGACACGCUUAGCUUCCUUUAGAUUUUAAAUCUGUUCAAGCCUUAAACAAACUCAUGACUUGAUACUGACGUUUUUAUUAUUUUAUCAAUACGUGAGGACAUAUAUGAUAAGUGGCUAUUCCUUGGAUAAACAUUAAUUAUAAUAUAUUUUUAUGAACCCCACAAACAAUUCUUUUAAUAUCCUAGAUAUUUGUUUUUUUUGUUGGAUCAAUCACAAAUGAAGACACUUUUACUAAACAAUAUUUUCACAAUAAUCACUUCGUUACUUACAAUCAUUCAAGCUGUUAGUAAUCAAAUUAAUACAAUCAUAGGCAUCAGGACUGUCCGUUCUUGGUCAGCAAGUGCUGGGGACAAAGAAGAAUUAACACAAACUUGUACUGUUCUUGAAACAUCUACUGACUUCUAGUAUCAGUACAAAUUCCUUGCACACUACUUCUUUAGAAAUAAGCACUGUAGAUUGAGAACCAAGCAUGUCCACACGCCAGGCAAAAAAUAUAUUAGCAUAUAUUAGGUUACCAGAUUAAGCAGUUUUGAUAUUUGGUUUUGAGAAGAAUAAGAACUGGAUAAUGCUGGAAUAUAUAUUUUUACCUCUUUGGCUUGUGAAACAAAAAGUUAGAUACUGCUAGAUACACAAGACAUUAAAAUAGAGAUCAAUAUAAUGUAGUCAUGUGAAACUCAGAAAAGCAAGACGAAUCCAGGAUUAAUAUGAUAACUCCAAGACAUGCUCGAAUAAAAGAUCCAACAUGAAAGAAACUUUAUCAAAAGAGCUAAAUCGAUUUGCUUCUGUUUCAACAAAAAUGCCUCAACAUUUUCAACUUAAGAACUUAAAUUACAUACCUGAUUUAGCCACCAAAAAGAAUAAAUCUCUGAAGUUGCAAGGAGAUGAAAGCAAAAGAAUGACACAACAACAACAGCAGUAUUUAGGAAAAUUGAUGCCCAAAUUCCAGCUUCAUUUUGAUUUUUGUUUGAAACGAUUUUUUCGGAUUUUUCUUCCAAUUUUGAUUUCCUAGUGUGUUUGGGUGUUUAUCAGAGAAGUAAGGAAAUGUAGGGAGUCAGAUAUGAGAAUUGGGUGUUUCUCUGUGUGUGUUUUGAGAAAAUGAUGAAGCAAACAGAAGAAAGGGAGCUGGGGUUGCGCUGUUUGCUCUGGUUUUUGCAAAGGUCCGAGUCUGAUUUUCUCUUUUGGAAGGAAAUGGUUCUCUUCUAAUUGUUCUUAGGUUGAAGAUGCAGACCGCGGGGGAUGCACCGUUUUGGUGAAGGAAAUUAAGAAUCUGAUCUCUUCUCUAAGUUUCCUAAUGUGUAUAUAUAUUAGAG
RNAcentral lists this long non-coding RNA (20505 nucleotides) under Nicotiana tabacum (common tobacco). RNAcentral describes it as "long non-coding RNA (NTAB_LNC006243)". Lineage: Eukaryota; Viridiplantae; Streptophyta; Magnoliopsida; Solanales; Solanaceae. The record is from RNAcentral.